RNAcentral lists this unclassified non-coding RNA (226 nucleotides) under uncultured fungus. RNAcentral describes it as "sequence contains ITS1, 5.8S rRNA gene". The stretch from base 178 to 226 matches the Rfam family "5.8S ribosomal RNA", at positions 1 to 49 of the family's 154-position model. The record is from RNAcentral. Lineage: Eukaryota; Fungi.
UCUCCGUAGGUGAACCUGCGGAGGGAUCAUUACUGAGUGAGGGCCCCCGGCCCGACCUCCAACCCUUUGUGUAUCUCGACCCUGUUGCCUCGGGGGCGACCCGGCCUUCGGGCGUCGGGGCCCCCGGAGGCCAUUAAACACUGCAUCAUUGCGUCGGAGUUAAAGUAAAUUAAACAAAACUUUCAACAACGGAUCUCUUGGUUCCAGCAUCGAUGAAGAACGCAGC